Molecule: transfer RNA, 139 nt
Filed under: Paraphoma chrysanthemicola
Lineage: Eukaryota; Fungi; Ascomycota; Dothideomycetes; Pleosporales; Phaeosphaeriaceae
Rfam family: tRNA
About the family: Transfer RNA (tRNA) molecules are approximately 80 nucleotides in length.
Source: Rfam by way of RNAcentral
GGGCCGGUAACUCAGUGGUAGAGGUUGGUGCACCUGCAACUUAAUAUUUCAGUAACAUGAUCUAAUUCCUUAUAGUGUAGGACUGCAGUUCACCAAAAUUGUCUUCCCGAAGUCACCGGUUCGACUCCGGUUCGGCCCU